AGCUAGUUGGUGAGAUAACAGCCCACCAAGGCAACGAUCAGUAGCCGACCUGAGAGGGUGAUCGGCCACAUUGGGACUGAGACACGGCCCAAACUCCUACGGGAGGCAGCAGUGGGGAAUAUUGCACAAUGGGCGAAAGCCUGAUGCAGCAACGCCGCGUGAGGGACGACGGCCUUCGGGUUGUAAACCUCUUUUAGCAGGGAAGAAGCGAAAGUGACGGUACCUGCAGAAAAAGCACCGGCUAACUACGUGCCAGCAGCCGCGGUAAUACGUAGGGUGCAAGCGUUAUCCGGAAUUAUUGGGCGUAAAGAGCUCGUAGGCGGUCUGUCGCGUCUGCUGUGAAAACCCGAGGCUCAACCUCGGGCCUGCAGUGGGUACGGGCAGACUAGAGUGCGGUAGGGGAGAUUGGAAUUCCUGGUGUAGCGGUGGAAUACGCAGAUAUCAGGAGGAACACCGAUGGCGAAGGCAGAUCUCUGGGCCGUAACUGACGCUGAGGAGCGAAAGGGUGGGGAGCAAACAGGCUUAGAUACCCUGGUAGUCCACCCCGUAAACGUUGGGAACUAGUUGUGGGGACCAUUCCACGGUUUCCGUGACGCAGCUAACGCAUUAAGUUCCCCGCCUGGGGAGUACGGCCGCAAGGCUAAA
RNAcentral lists this ribosomal RNA (645 nucleotides) under uncultured bacterium. Its description in RNAcentral is "bacterial SSU rRNA". It matches the Rfam family "Bacterial small subunit ribosomal RNA", at positions 243 to 898 of the family's 1533-position model. The record is from RNAcentral.